UUCAUCCUUUUGGGCAUCCCUGGACUUGAGCAGUACCACGUCCGGAUCAGCAUCCCAUGCUGCUUUAUCUAUCUCAUGGCUGUCAUGGCCAAUAGUAUCCUUCUCUACCUCAUUGUGGUAGAGCACAGUCUUCAUGCACCCAUGUUCUUUUUCCUUUCCAUGCUGGCCAUUACUGAUCUCAUAUUGUCCACCACAUGUGUCCCCAAAACACUUAGCAUCUUCUGGUUUGGUCCCCAAACAGUUUCCCUGGCUGUCUCACCCAAUUAUUCUUUCUGCACUAUAGCUUUGUGUUGGACUCAGCUAUACUGCUGGCCAUGGCAUUUGACCGCUAUAUGGCAUUUGCUCACCCUUGAGAUACACUACUAUUCUGACUCCCAAAACCAUUGUCAAAAUUGCUGCGGGAAUGUUUCCGAAGUUUCUGUGUUUUUGUCCCAUGUGUUUUCCUUGUGAAUCGUUUACCCUUCUGCAGGACACAUAUCAUUUCUCACACAUACUGUGAGCACAUAGGUGUUGCCCAGCUCGCCUGUGCUGAUAUCUCCAUGAAUAUCUGGUAUGGAUUUUGUGUUGCCAUCAUGACGGUGAUGACAGACAUGAUCCUCAUUGCUGUCUCCUACACCCUCAUCCUCUGUGCUGUCUUUUGCCUCCCCUCCCAAGAUGCCCGUCAGAAGGCCCUUUGCACCUGUGGUUCCCAUGUCUGUGUUAUCCUCAUAUUCUAUAUACCAGCAUUCUUCUCCAUCCUUGCCCAUCGCUUUGGGCAUAAUGUCCCUCGUACCUUUCAUAUUAUGUUUGCCAACCUUUAUGUAAUCAUUCCACCUGCUCUCAACCCUACUGUCUACGGAAUAAAGACCAAGCAAAUCCAGAACAGAAUCCUUCUGCUCUUUCCCAAGGGGUCCCAGUGA
This 899-nucleotide small RNA is filed under the name Pongo abelii (Sumatran orangutan). Its description in RNAcentral is "unitary pseudogene". The record is from RNAcentral. Lineage: Eukaryota; Metazoa; Chordata; Mammalia; Primates; Hominidae.